RNAcentral lists this ribosomal RNA (445 nucleotides) under uncultured bacterium. RNAcentral describes it as "partial 16S ribosomal RNA". It matches the Rfam family "Bacterial small subunit ribosomal RNA", at positions 354 to 796 of the family's 1533-position model. The record is from RNAcentral.
GUGAGGAAUAUUGGUCAAUGGGCGAAAGCCUGAACCAGCCAUGUCGCGUGAAGGAUGAAGGUCCUAUGGAUUGUAAACUUCUUUUGCAGGAGGGUAAAGUGAGCUACGUGUAGUUCAUUGCAAGUACCCUGCGAAUAAGCAUCGGCUAACUCCGUGCCAGCAGCCGCGGUAAUACGGAGGAUGCGAGCGUUAUCCGGAUUUAUUGGGUUUAACGGGUGCGUAGGCGGACUAAUUAGUCAGCGGUGAAAUUUUGCGGCUCAACCGUAAAACUGCCGUUGAAACUGUUAGUCUUGAGUGCGGUAGAGGUAGGCGGAAUGUGUGGUGUAGCGGUGAAAUGCUUAGAUAUCACACAGAACACCGAUUGCGUAGGCAGCUUACUGGAGCGAAACUGACGCUGAGGCACGAAAGCGUGGGGAUCGAACAGGAUUCGAAACCCUGGUAGUCC